CAUUCCCGUCUGAUGAAGCAUUAAGACUGAAACGGAUCGCUGCAGUUCAUAGGAAUGACUGGGAACCCAGUAAACAGUUCGUUAUAUGUGAACUGAUUUCACUGCAGACGACAUUGAGAAAAUUACCAGUGCUUACGACCCAAAACUGGCAAACUCUUUACAGCACCUUUGGACCGUCCACGUUUAAAGAAACGUUCGUGAAAAUUUAUCGUAAAGGGUACUUGUAAUCAGUUUUCAGAUUAAUGUUCAGAUGCCGUACCUUCAAAGUUGCAAGGAUGAACUACGUAUUUAUCUUCAAAACAAGCACCAGCUCGAGAAGAUCCAGAGAGUCGCGAACGUUUGGAGAACCAAGCACUUGAGAAAGUCAUUGAGCAGAGUGUGGGAUCACACAAAAAAUGAUGGAAAAGAGUUCAUUUGCUAGUUUAGAAGAUUUUAAAUCAAAAUUAUCUGAUUGUGAAAAGCACAGUG
Schistocerca americana (American grasshopper) is the source of this 468-nucleotide long non-coding RNA. RefSeq lists it as uncharacterized. The transcript is spliced from 3 exons. The record is from RefSeq and is a predicted model, not a curated record. NCBI's taxonomy places the organism in Eukaryota, Metazoa, Arthropoda, Insecta, Orthoptera, Acrididae.